UGGCUCAGGACGAACGCUGGCGGCGUGCUUCAUACAUGCAAGUCGAACGAGAAGCUGACUUCGGUCAGUGGAAAGUGGCGGACGGGUGAGUAAUAUGUAGAGAAUCUGCCCUUGAGUGGGGGACAACAGAGGGAAACUUCUGCUAAUACCCCAUAUGAGCUAACUUGAAAUAGUUAUCUUGAAAACUCCGGUGCUCAAGGAUGAGUCUGCAUCUGAUUAGCUAGUUGGCGGUGUAAUGGACCACCAAGGCGACGAUCAGUAGCUGGUUUGAGAGGAUGAUCAGCCACAAUGGGACUGAGACACGGCCCAUACUCCUACGGGAGGCAGCAGUAGGGAAUUUUGCGCAAUGGGCGAAAGCCCUGACGCAGCAACGCCGCGUGAACGAUUAAGCCCUUCGGGGUGUAAAGUUCUGUCAGUAGGGACGAAUUUUGACGGUACCUACAGAGGAAGCACCGGCUAACUCCGUGCCAGCCGCGGC
This 478-nucleotide ribosomal RNA is filed under the name uncultured bacterium. RNAcentral describes it as "bacterial SSU rRNA". It matches the Rfam family "Bacterial small subunit ribosomal RNA", at positions 20 to 518 of the family's 1533-position model. The record is from RNAcentral.